The sequence is a transfer RNA, 71 nucleotides long. It matches the Rfam family "tRNA". From Rfam's summary of the family: Transfer RNA (tRNA) molecules are approximately 80 nucleotides in length. Their secondary structure includes four short double-helical elements and three loops (D, anti-codon, and T loops). The record is from Rfam.
GCGGCUAUAAGUUAAUGGUAAACCCGACGUCUUCCAAACGUUUUAUGUCGAUUCGACUUCGGCUAGCCGCA